CCUCUUCUCCAGCAUGGGGCUUGUAGAGAACAAGUGUAUAAAGAGGUGCCUGGGCAGGGGCAGGUGUGGAUGUGGGAGUCCCAGCUGAGAGCCAAGCAUGUGGGGGAGCAGGAGCAGCAGGGCCAUGAGGUGCUUUGCCAUGCUAGCAAGCCACAGCGGUUGGCUAUGAAUCCACGUCCCCAGCCUCAGAGAAGGCUGAGUCCCUGGAGCUGGGUUCUCAGUCCCCUGCACAAGGAGCAGCAGCUUGGCAUGGGGUCAAGCUGGGCAUGUCAGCCCUCCCUCUGAGGGCCCCCAGUGAGUCCCUUUGUCUCCAGGUGCUCCUGUUUCCCUGCUUAGCAUGGAAAACACACUAUUCCUAAUUUCCCUGCUUGGUUGUCCAUAAAGCAAUUAUCUGAUAAUUAUUUCUGUUCAUUGGCAAGUUAGUUCUAAUGAUGUUUGCUAAACGUUUGAUUAUUACUGCAAACACCGCUUUUGGAUUUGGAGUUGGGGCUGUGAUUGCUGCAGGCAGUUUCUGGAAGAGGUAAUUCUUACAGGCAAGUUUUUAUAGAGAUAUCACAGUGAGAGCUGGAAUUUGUGAUGCUCUCGGCUCUUUUGGUUUUAUAGAUAACGUAAUGAAGGCGAUAAGCUUGCACGCAGUGAUAAGCAAUGGUUUGGUGACUGAGAGCAUUAGACAGCAAAACUCCAGGAUGGUUUGGGAAGGAGAGAGGCAGCGGUGCUGGGAGCGGCCGUGCUGCUCGUGGCCCUGGGCUGAGUGCUGCCACCCGGACCAGUGGGAACCAGUUGAUUCCCCUCCCAGCACAAAGAUCCUUUUCAAGCCUUGGUUUUGCCUGGAGACCUUUGUGCCGCUCUUGAGGAAUUCUAUUGCAGGCCUUUCUGGAUGAUUUUCUGUGGUCAGUGCCUUACACCGAGAGUCACGGGGCAGCAGAGAGGGCUCAUCCCUGCGCAGGGCUUCCAGUGGGGGGUUGCCUGCUGCCAGCAGCUCUCUGAAGGAGCGUGAGCUUUUCUCACAUCGCUCCCUCCUAUUGCAGCAGCCACGGCAGCAAAAGAGCCCUGGAGGAAUCGUGGAGCGCUUGGGGUGAAAAACAACGGAGAAACAGCACAGAGCUGCACAUGUGCUGGGAGAGCCAGGGGUGUCAGAGCCAGCCCGGGGUGGGGGCAGAGCCUGCUCCUGCUGCACACACAGUGCAGGACAGGAGAUCAAAGAGGUGCGGGCAGGGUAAGAGUUUGAGCCCAUGCUGGAGCGGUGGAGGGGAAGGAAGGGAUGUCAGUGACACACAGGAGGCUUUUGUCGGCGGAGGACAGUGAGAAUGGAGGGGAAGGGCCUGCAGUACCAAAGGGCGCUUUGUGAGCACCUACAGCACUGGGCGAUGGCAAGAGGAAACUGUCUCCAAAAACAGCCAGGGGUGUUACCUGGUAAAGCUCACAUGGCCCAACUCUCAUCCAGUCCUGAGGUUUUCGAGGAGAAAAGUCUUCUCCCGGGACUGAAAAUCUGCAUUUCUACUGCAGUGGCUCCCAACACCCUCCUGGAAGGCACCGGCAAGCUGUAUCCUCCAGCAAGUGCAAAGAAAUAGAGGCUGUAAACCCUAAAAAGCAGCACUGCUCAGUAUUUGUGUCUACAAUCCACCACCACAACACGGUGUUCUGAUCAAACCUGUCUGCUUUAAGGCUGGCAAUUUCACACCAUUUCAGCAUGACAGCUAGAAAGCAAAGACCUUGAUGGCCCAAAUAUUUUCUUGCGAUUUAUUCUGCGAGGCUCUGCAGGAGAAAGAAGCAGGUGCUGGAUUCUCUUUCUGCUGAUCCACUCCCCUCCAGUGGCUGUCCUGCCAGUGAGCCAACAGGGUCCCUUCUUUCCCUCAAGGCAGAUCUGCGGGAGCUGAGAUGCUGCUCUCCGGGCUGUGAAGCACACAAGGCUGAAUGCUCUGAGUGAAGCCCCUGGGGCAGAGUGCCAGGCUGGGGCUGCGGGGGGAACCAGGCGGGCAGAGCACUGCUCCUGGCUGCAGCUGCCACCAGACCUUACCUCGUCGCUCCUGCAGGGCUGGAGUUAAUAAAGUCCGUGAGUCAGCCAGACCCUCAGCGUGAAUGUCACUAAGCAGCGCAGCAUUACCUGCUGGUGCUCCUAGGAAGACUCUGUUUCCUCCUUCUGUCCCCAGGCCCAGCAGGGAGCUGUGACCUCGUUCCCGCCAGGCCCCGGGCAGAGCUGUGCCAUCUCUUUCCAGCAAAAGUGACAAUGCGUAGGAGGGGUGUGAAGCAGCAUGGAGCUCUGGGGGGAUUCACGCGUGGAGGGCAACAGCUUCCUGCUGCCCGUCCCCAGCCAUGAGGGACUUGGCCUCGUGGUGCAGCACGGGAACAUCACAGCGAGAGAGGGAGAUCCCUGCCCAGCAGUGGUGCUCACCUCGCUCAGCACCUCGGCGGCGUCAGCCAUGGGCUGCAGCUGGCCCAGCACCUGCAGAUCAGCAGGGAAGGGUUUCUCCUUCCUAUCCCCCUGUUACCUGGCAGGCUCUCAAGCCUUGACCUUCGUCCCCGUCCUCUCCUGCUACCCAAGAAGGGAAAUUUUUGGAGGAAGAUGUUUUCAGGCUUACUGCCUCCAGUUCCUGCUUGCUGUUAACCCAGCCACACAGCAGGGUCAGGAGGUGAAGACACCUGAGUUUCCAUCUUGCUCUUGCACCAGCUGGCCCUGAGUUCAGCAGGGAUGCUGCAGCCAUGGUGCCUGGUGACAAGAUGCUGUGCUGGGAAGGUGGCACGGGCAUCUCCUGGAGAAGUGCAGCCAGGCCAGGUGCCCUUGACAAAGGCAGGCAGUGCCCAGCCUGACUCUGGACCUCGCCUCAUUGCGGAGCAGGGAGAGGGGCCUGGCAGCAACUCGUGCUGGGGUGGGGUUCAGCCAAGACCCCCAGCACCCACCCUCUGCUCCCAUUUUGUGGUCAGGGCUGUUGGCCAAGAACAAGUGAUUUAUGGGUGUUCUGCAUGAAGAAGGGGACUUGCCUUCAACCAGAGGAGGAUUUACCGUCAGUCUGAGGAGGGAAGGCUGUCGGGAGCUGGGAUGUGGAUGCACAUCGGUGAGUGCAUGUCGGGCAGGUGUGUGGGCCCCAUGCCCCUGCUGCCUUGCUUCUGGGAGCAAUCCAUGAGCAGUGAGAAGAGACCAGCAGCUCUGGGGCAGCCUUUCCCCUCACUUUCUCUUGCCUUUAAACCACUCUGCACGAAAGGACAGAAAAAGGAGGGCAAAAGCUGAGAGUGGGGAAUCUGUCCAUCUGUGAACCAGCAGCUCCGCUCUAAGGAGGGAAUGGGCCCUUAAGAGAAGCAGCAGCUGCUGCCCCACACCGCUCGUAUUGGCCUCACAUGGAGCAGCAGCACGGGCAGUGGGGGUUUCUGAUGUGCUGGGGCUCAGUACUGCGAGAGCCAGCAAGCUGUGCUGCAAGUCCUCUUUAUUACAUGUCAUAAAGUGGUAUUCCAAGAACAAUGCACCACAGCAGCAGAGAUAUAAAUAAUACGCAUUGCAAUACAAUCGAGCCUUGUCUAGGGCCUCUGCCCUGGGUGCUGGUAACUGCCUGCAGGUGAGCGGCUGCAGCGUGGAGCUGAGCUGCAAACCCCAUCUGCAGACCAAAGCGCACUGCUGCGAGGUGCUGGGGGAGAUGGGGGGUGGAGAGGGCCUGGAAGAGGAUGAGGGCAGUGGGAGGAUCUCUGCCUGCUUGAUGCCACUGUGCUGCCCCCCAAAGCCUCCCCAUGCACCCUGCCAGGACCAGCUUAGCUGUCCCACAGCUGUCUCUAAGAAGAGGUCAGAAGGGUUCCGGAGCUCACAGCUCUGUGGCAGCUGAAGUGUUACCUCUUGUCCCAGCCCACUUUUCUGGAGCAUACCCCAUAAUUCCUUUAUUUUACUCGUAAGACUCAGAAAGCAUCAUUUCUUUCUCCAGCUGUUCUAAUAUGUUGUUGGGCUCUGGAUGUCACUUCAAAAUGAAGUAGAUUAAAUUUGGGAACCGAAGUUCCCAGCUGUGUCCCCUCAAGCUCGCAUACCCUUUAGGGUCUGUGGGAUGCUCCCCUGGCCCUCGGCUGCUCCGGCCCCACCUCUGACACAGGGUCUGUGUUUGCACUGCCACUGUCCAUCUCCUGGCACGCAACCACACAGUGACUCAGUUCCUCAGCAAUUUCAAACACUGAAACAUCUGCUCCAGCACAGAGUAAUUAAUGACUUUCUGGUUCAUCUGCCGAGCAGAAACACUUGGGCUUGCAGCUCUGGUGUAGACUUAUUUAAAAGGCUUCCCAUCAGGAGUGUUUAGGUUCCCCUAAUUGCUGUGUGACUGACAGCGAGCUCAGGGCGCAUCGCUGCACUGGAAGCACAGAGCAGGAGCUGCGGGCACUGUGCUCGGGGAAGCUCAAGGCACAGCUUCACCUCCCACGUGAGGACAGUCAGGGCCUGGGCAACACGUCUGUAGUGCAGUGACAAGGCAGGGCUGCAGACCCAGCAGAGCGCGGAGCCCUGACCCAUCUCCUGCAGCGUUUGCAGAGGCCACCACAGCCCCUGAUCUUUGCCUCCACCACAAGGACUGGAGUGCAGAACAGCCCCUGGCUCAACCCUCAAUAGCACUUUGCAAUUUGAGAUCAUUACUGCACAAAGCCCUGUUCUCUUUACAAGAGGGGGAGCCUCGGAGAGGCUGACCGAAGCCAGCACCCAGCGCAGAGAGGAGCACGCGUGGGAUGAGUGUGGGUUUUCCUUCGCUGCCCCCUCUUUGGCACUUCUGCCAGCAGCAUCUUUCUGGGUACCUGGGACGCAGCAUCCCCGGUUCCCUGCUGCUUAUGGGGGCAGGGCAGGGAGCAGCCUGGCACCGGCACUGCUGGUACUGCAGCUGUGGGCACAGCAGAAGCGCGUCUCCAGCAAAAGGAGGAAAGCAGUGCUGGAGAAGUCCGGCCUGAGCGAGAGGCAAGGGAUUUGGCUUGAGAGUCAUCUCAGUGGAAAACAAAGUGGAAGGAAAGCUGGCUCACUUUGCUCAGAAGUAACAUUAUCCGGGGAGAUGACAGAGCUGCUAGCAGGAUGCGCUCUCUGCGAGGUUGGGCUGGAGCAGGCGCAGCGCUGCGAGGUCACGCUUCUAACCCCGGCUGUAAAUCCAUGCCGUGCCAUUGCACAAGUCCUCUCUGGGCCUCCUGGGACUCUGUUGUAACGUAUUGCUGGGCUUUACAGAGAUUUAAUGCAUGCACCGAAGCCUCCAGCGCCCAUACAUCACUCGGUGGUUAGUGGGAGGCACAGUCAAGAGCUGGACAAAGAUUGUUGCCAAAGGGUGUGAGGAGAAAUGCUUUGGCCCAUUAACAAAGCUCCUGCAAAGGAAUGCAGACGUGGUGUGAGGAUGCUGACAGCCUGGAGAGCCACAGGAGGAGCAAGAUGAGGGCUGGGGGGAGCGGAGGGACUGGGGGGAGCAACCGGCGGGAGUGGUGGUUGGAGGCACCACUGCUUUUGCUGGGAAGAGGGAAUUGGCUGCCAUCAGUUUGCAAAUGCCUUUCCUGCCUCUGCCCAGUUU
Molecule: long non-coding RNA, 5501 nt
Organism: Numida meleagris (helmeted guineafowl)
Lineage: Eukaryota; Metazoa; Chordata; Aves; Galliformes; Numididae
Exons: 3
Source: RefSeq, a predicted model, not a curated record